This 498-nucleotide long non-coding RNA is filed under the name Brassica napus (rape). RNAcentral's name for it is "long non-coding RNA (BNAP_LNC007830)". The record is from RNAcentral. Lineage: Eukaryota; Viridiplantae; Streptophyta; Magnoliopsida; Brassicales; Brassicaceae.
GCGAAAUUACAACUCAGAUGCACCUUAUUUCAAAGUUGUGUAUAUGUUAAUCUACCUCAAAAGCAUAAAGAGUUUAAGGCUUGAGUUAUCCAGAAACCAAUCAUCAUUAUGUCUUUACAAUUACGGUUACUUGUCUAAAUGAAAGAGAAGUAAACAAAGUGAAAAAAGGUAAAAAAAAUAUAUCAAGCGUUGUAACACAAACAAUCACGAAAGCUCAAGAAGAAGCUCCUUUCUUUGGCUUCGCUGCAGAGUAUAUAUAAAAAGGUGAGAAGAAAAAGAUCAAAGAAGAUGGUGAAAAUCAGGAUUACAUACACCCACUGAAGUGGAUAACAGGCUCUAUCUGUGUAUAGUGGUCGGAGGUAAUGAUGGUGGAACAUAGGAAGAGGAGAAGAUGACGACGCUAGAGAUGACCUAGAUGCUGGAUAGAUUUUAAUAUUAAUCCAAUGAUUAAGGUUUGUUUAAUGUAAAUAUAUCGGUCAUCAAAUAAAUAUAUAUAAA